AACGAUGAUAUCACUGCUUGCAGUGAUUGAUUAGUGGCGAACGGGUGAGUAACACGUGAGGAACUUGCCCAUGAGCGGGGGACAACAUUCGGAAACGGAUGCUAAUACCCCAUAGGUGGAUUGGUCGCAUGACGAAUUCAUUAAAGGUGGCUUUGCUACCACUCAUGGAUAGCCUCGCGGCGUAUUAGCUAGUUGGUAAGGUAAUGGCUUACCAAGGCAGUGAUACGUAGCCGACUUGAGAGGGUGAUCGGCCACACUGGGACUGAGACACGGCCCAGACUCCUACGGGAGGCAGCAGUAGGGAAUCUUCCACAAUGGGUGCAAACCUGAUGGAGCAAUGCCGCGUGAGUGAAGAAGGUUUUCGGAUCGUAAAGCUCUGUUGUUAGAGAAGAACACGUGCUAGGUAACUACUAGCGCCUUGACGGUAUCUAACCAGAAAGGCACGGCUAACUAC
This 454-nucleotide ribosomal RNA is filed under the name uncultured Dolosigranulum sp. RNAcentral's name for it is "bacterial SSU rRNA". It matches the Rfam family "Bacterial small subunit ribosomal RNA", at positions 65 to 504 of the family's 1533-position model. Lineage: Bacteria; Bacillati; Bacillota; Bacilli; Lactobacillales; Carnobacteriaceae. The record is from RNAcentral.